GUGCCAUAAUGAUGUUAGGUUGUGUCCACUGGUAUGGGACAAUGAGACUUAAUGAUGUUAGGAUCUGAACAC
This is a small nucleolar RNA of Protopterus annectens (West African lungfish), 72 nucleotides long. RefSeq annotates it as small nucleolar RNA SNORD66. Lineage: Eukaryota; Metazoa; Chordata; Ceratodontiformes; Protopteridae. The record is from RefSeq and is a predicted model, not a curated record. The transcript has a single exon.